Molecule: long non-coding RNA, 1698 nt
Organism: Numida meleagris (helmeted guineafowl)
Lineage: Eukaryota; Metazoa; Chordata; Aves; Galliformes; Numididae
Exons: 3
Source: RefSeq, a predicted model, not a curated record
UGCAAAGGAAUAAAUCUUGAAAGUAAAGCAUCCCCUCCAGCAAAAUAUUUUACUGCAUUUGCCUUGGAGAAUUCUACUGCAGGAGAGAGAAAGGGGAAAAAAAGCCCUGCAGAGUAUCUGGAACAACUUCAAAUUCAAUAGCCUAUGAGAUUUUCCUUUAAAUGAUCUUUCUAAAUAUAACAGUUCAAUAGGUCAGUGGUCAAUAUGAAUGUUAUCUGCAAGCUGGAGCUAUUAAUUUCUGCAACGCUGUUUCAGAUGCCAAAUGUUAACCUAAUGUUUUAUACUCCAGCUUUCUCACACAUAUGUUUAAAUGAACAUUAUGCAAAAACUGUGGAGGAAGUGGUGCUGGUGCUUCCAUACUUAAAAGGAAAAUUGCUGCUAAAUCAUGUUACAGAAUUAAUUUCAUUUUUUUCUUUAAAAUGUUCUUUGGGGAAUGACCUGCUUGAAUGGAAGGACGUUUCCAAAGGCAUGGUGAGGAUCUGUACCUCUUGAAAAAGGAAAGAGAGACAACACAGCAAAGGAUACUCUACAGUGAUUUGAGUCCAUGCAAAACUCCUGUAGUGCUGCAAGAAGCCAGAGAAAAGUUCUGGGAGAAAACAUCACAGAAGGGCACAGGGAAAUCAUCUUCACAGAAGAUAUUUAAGAUCUACCUUGUGCUAGAGUACAUUCCUCAGGGACCAUGGAUUGUGGAUGUCACUUGAGAAAUAUUUACAUCUGCAGUGAAGCUACAGUGGAAGCAGAAAUGCUGUGGUUCCACUACAGUAACGCUUUUUCAAGAAAAGCUGCAUUUAAAUGUCUUUCUUUAGAUGAACUUUGGAAGACCAGUACUCAUAUUAUAGAAUGGUGCUAAAACCAAAUUUUGCUAACUCAUUUUGAACUCUCUCUAGGAUGGGACAGGCUCACAAAGGAAAAUGAAUCAUUAAAGGUUUACCUCAUCUGGAGAAUAAUCUUCACAUAUCUGUAGAGAUCGGACGGAUCCUGAUGUGAUCUUGAAAUCUGAGUUAAUGUGGUCUCUUCAGGGAAUAUAGAUAGGUGUCAUUUGUGUAGACAGCACUCAAAAUAGUUGGGAUUUAAUAUUUAACACUAGCUGAUUGUACUAAAUGUGCUGUGAAAGUAAUCUUUAUGUUGGCCAAAUGCAGAACCAUUUGAGCAACAUCUCUCUCCUCAAAUAACAGACCAUGCCCCCCCAGCAGACCAAAACAAGCCAAACAAAGAAGAGCAGGGGGACAGGAAAGUGGUUUUUUUUUUUUUUUUUUUUUUUUUUUGGUGCUGCUCAACCCUGCCUAUCAGGAAGAUUCAUUUGCAAAACACAUUGUCCAGCUGACUGCUUCUUCUCUUUCUCCUCAUGAUUUGUGGGAAAAGGAGACAGCUCAUCUUUGACCUCACCUGUAUGUCCUCACCUUCCUGAGGAAGGUAACUUGAAGGUAACUUGAAGGUAACUUGAAGCUCGCCAUGGCUGAGGAAGUCUUUGAAUGAGAACAAUUUAUUUCAUUUGCAAAACAAAGGAAAUCCAUCCAGAGCUUAACUCAAUCCUGCUCAAAGAGAACAAAUCCUACAAAAACCUCUAUGGUUGAAAAAAUGCUGUGAUGGCUGCCAAGUCAGACACUAAGAAGUUACUAAAUAUUAAAAUGGAGUCUUCCUUAAUAUAAUUCUUGCAUGCAUGUAAUUGGGAUUUAACUUUCAAAUGAAUAAACACUA